Molecule: ribosomal RNA, 253 nt
Filed under: uncultured bacterium
Lineage: Bacteria
Description: partial 16S ribosomal RNA
Rfam family: Bacterial small subunit ribosomal RNA
Source: RNAcentral
UACGGAGGGUGCGAGCGUUGUCCGGAAUCACUGGGCGUAAAGGGCGCGUAGGCGGCGCGGGAAGUCCGUGGUGAAAUCUUUCGGCUCAACCGGAAAAGUGCCUCGGAUACUGGUUCACUCGAGGGAGGUAGGGGCCCGCGGAACUUCCGGCGGAGCGGUGAAAUGCGUUGAUAUCGGAAGGAACGCCGGUGGCGAAAGCGGCGGGCUGGCCCUCUUCUGACGCUGAGGCGCGAAAGCCAGGGGAGCGAACGGG